AUGAUGGAGGCUGCGGAAUUUCGCCCUUGGUCAGAUCUUCCGCCAGAACUCCUGGGACUUGUUCUCAAGCGCCUCCCUUCCCUAGCUGACCGUGUUCGUUUGAGAGCUGUCUGCCACCCAUGGCGCUCUAAUAGCAGGUUGCAGACCCUUCCUCUCCCAUUCCCGUGGCUCACUCUCCCUGAUGGCACCCUCCUCGGCAUUCCAAGCGGUGAAAUUCACCACAUAUCUUUACCGGAAGGUGCGUGUUGCCAGGGCUCCAUUGACAACUUGCUAUUCCUCAUGCACAAUGAUGGUGUGUGCUACUUGAUGAACCCUUUCUCCAAGACCAGGUUGCAGCUUCGUAAGCUAGCAAAGGUAUGGAAGCGUGAGAUAUAUGAUCCCGAACCCCGAAUUAACCCAAUUUUCUACAACUUGGUGGUGCCCUUUCCACUUGACUCGUCACCCUGUUCCCUACUUGCUGCACUGAUCAUGGAUGAUGGUAACUGGGGUACACUUUGUAUUAGUCAAUCACCGAUUGUCACUGACUCAUUCAGAGAUGAUAAGCAUCCAGCAAAGCUCCUCUGUAGUGUUGCGUUCUUUGAUGGCAAGCUGUACGGGCUGGGGGGGUUUGACCAACUAUUCAUCUUUGAAUUAGACAAGGACCUUGGUAUUUCAUCCAUGGAGUGUAUAAUUGACUCUAUGGGUGAGUUAGGUGGAAUACCUCAAUCGUUGUCGGAAGAGAAGGCGUAUAUGAUAAGGCGGUAUCUAGUUGAAUGUGGCGAUAGACUGUUGAUGGUGAAACGGUGGAUUCAUCCUAUUGCCCGUUCAACAAGUGAUGACUUUUUCGAGCAUAACCGUACUGUUGCACUUGGGGUUUUUGAGGCAGAUUUGGGCACCGAUCCUGCUGGAUGGAGAACAGUAAAUGAUUUGGAUGGCCAUGCGCUCUUUCUUGGCCAGCAUAGCUCCAAGUCCCUGCGCGCUGGAGAAUGCAGUGGAUACCAAGAGGACUGCAUCUACUUCAUGUGUGACUAUUCCUGGCCAAAGCAUUCUGCAAAUCCUCUUCGUGAUGCCGGUGUUUACAACAUCAGGAAUCAGACAUUCAUGCCACUGAUGUCGGGGACUGCAGCGGUACCGCCACAUCAUGCUGGCCAGUGGCGUCCGACAUGGUUUUUCCCUCCUGAAGCUGUGUGA
This 1170-nucleotide ribosomal RNA is filed under the name Triticum aestivum (bread wheat). RNAcentral's name for it is "partial small subunit ribosomal RNA". The record is from RNAcentral. Lineage: Eukaryota; Viridiplantae; Streptophyta; Magnoliopsida; Poales; Poaceae.